This 592-nucleotide unclassified non-coding RNA is filed under the name Hevea brasiliensis (rubber tree). Lineage: Eukaryota; Viridiplantae; Streptophyta; Magnoliopsida; Malpighiales; Euphorbiaceae. The record is from RNAcentral.
UUUCUAAUAUCACAAAUCAAUCUCGUAGCUUCUCUUUCUUUGUGCUCAAUUGUUAUAAUUACUCUCUAAUCAUGUUUUCCACCAUUGCUGUACCUUCCGGCAAAGCAAAUCCUCACCGGCGGGAAGUUUCCGCCGUGCCGGAGAGCGAGGUUCUACGGAGAAGAAACGAGGAGUUGGAGAAGGAAUUGAAGAAGAGCAUUGAAAGGGAAGAGAAAAUGAAAGAGGAAUUGCAGAAGACGUGGGACCGGCUGAGGGUGGCGGAGGAGGCGGAGGAGCGGCUCUGCUCUCAGCUCGGUGAACUUGAGGCGGAAGCUGUUGAUCAGGCUCGGGCAUACAGGACACGUGUCAUCAAUCUGAUGGAUCAACUCUCUUUGGCUCAGAAACUUCUAGAGUCAGCUUCUAUUUCUCGAUGAUAUGCAACGGGAAUUGUUGUUGAUGCGUCAACUCCGUUUUAAAAACUAGGUGUAGAUGUGUUAGAACGGUUAUUUGGAUGAUAAGUAUUAUUUUAGUUUUAAUUUUAAAAUUAUGAGCUCGAAUCAUCGACUAAACAUAGGACACGAUUAAUCGAAAUUGUGUGCUCGAAUUAUGAAGG